Molecule: non-coding RNA, 71 nt
Organism: Phrynosoma platyrhinos (Desert horned lizard)
Lineage: Eukaryota; Metazoa; Chordata; Lepidosauria; Squamata; Phrynosomatidae
Source: the annotation of a GenBank genome assembly
GUCAGUUUGGCAUAGUGGUUUGAGUGCUGGACUAUGACUCUGGAGACUAGGGUUCAAUCCCUGCUUCGCCA